GAAGACUUUGCCGGAUUAGCUGAGAGGUGGUGCAUGGCCGUCGUCAGUUCGUACUGUGAAGCAUCCUGUUAAGUCAGGCAACGAGCGAGACCCACGCCCACAGUUGCCAGCGUACUCUCCGGAGUGACGGGUACACUGUGGGGACCGCCGCUGCUAAAGCGGAGGAAGGAAUGGGCAACGGUAGGUCAGUAUGCCCCGAAUAUCCCGGGCUACACGCGAGCUACAAUGGUUGGUACAAUGGGUAUCUACCCCGAAAGGGGACGGGAAUCUCCUAAAACCAAUCUUAGUUCGGAUUGAGGGCUGCAACUCGCCCUCAUGAAGCUGGAAUCCGUAGUAAUCGCGUUUCAACAGAACGCGGUGAAUACGUCCCUGCUCCUU
This 378-nucleotide ribosomal RNA is filed under the name uncultured Methanosaeta sp. RNAcentral describes it as "bacterial SSU rRNA". It matches the Rfam family "Archaeal small subunit ribosomal RNA", at positions 961 to 1338 of the family's 1478-position model. Lineage: Archaea; Methanobacteriati; Methanobacteriota; Methanomicrobia; Methanotrichales; Methanotrichaceae. The record is from RNAcentral.